Long non-coding RNA from Cryptomeria japonica (Japanese cedar), 868 nucleotides. RefSeq lists it as uncharacterized. The transcript is spliced from 2 exons. The record is from RefSeq and is a predicted model, not a curated record. NCBI's taxonomy places the organism in Eukaryota, Viridiplantae, Streptophyta, Pinopsida, Cupressales, Cupressaceae.
CUUUUUGGUCCAGCACAGAAAGUAAUCAAACAAAAAGCAAUUGGAAUAUCUAACUUUACAGCAUUUCCGUGGAGGAAACGCCAAAAAUAUAUUCCUCCCCAUACAAUUUAUUUUCAGUUGAGAUCCUAUAUAUAUUGAUGUGGCACGCAGAUUUUAUUGGACAAGAAAUGCCAUCCAAGUAUGGGCUCCUCCUAACUGGUGUGAGCUGAGCUUUGCCUAUGAUAAUGGCCGAGUUGGAGCUCACACCAGUGGAGGACUCCAUACAAACUGGAAUGGAGGGGCCUUCCUUAUAUUGUAACCUCAUUUUCAAGCUUAUCAUGAUGAAAGAGUGAGUGCAAAGGAGACUGGCCUUAUAUUGGCGAUGUUGUAGUGUAUUUUUAUUAACUGAGAAUAUGAUGGGGAUAGGAUUAAAGAGCUGCAGGAUUUACAGAGCAGCCUUGUUCAGCAACGGUAUGAGAUUCAUCAGAGCUAGCUGUUGGGCUUGGCAAACAAAAAGAAGAAAAACUAUGUAAAUAUGGGCUGGAUUAUUUGCUGUAAAACUUUGUUGAAUCAGACUGUAGAUCUUUCUUAGUAUGUCGCUUAAUAGACAGCCCUGUCUAGUGUUUGUCUACUAUAGAUGGCGAUAGGAUUUUGAGAGAGCAGCCUUGUCCAUCAGGUGAGGGAGAGUCGGCCCUGGCAAACCAAAAAGAAGCACAAAUAUGUAAAUAUGGGCUAUAUUAUUUCCAGUAAAACUUUGUUCAAGUAGAUUGCUAUGUCUUUCUUUGUAUGUGGAAUAUCACGACAGUCCCAGCCUAGUCUUUGUCUAGUGUAUUUUGUUUUAAAGUUUUGUUUUUAUCUUUUAAUAUAAUCCGAUAGGUUGCCUCACUUA